AGUGAACGCUGGCGGUAGGCCUAACACAUGCAAGUCGAACGGCAGCACAGUAAGAGCUUGCUCUUACGGGUGGCGAGUGGCGGACGGGUGAGGAAUACAUCGGAAUCUACUUUUUCGUGGGGGAUAACGUAGGGAAACUUACGCUAAUACCGCAUACGACCUACGGGUGAAAGCAGGGGAUCUUCGGACCUUGCGCGAUUGAAUGAGCCGAUGUCGGAUUAGCUAGUUGGCGGGUAAAGGCCCACCAAGGCGACGAUCCGUAGCUGGUCUGAGAGGAUGAACCGGCACACUGGAACUUGGACACGGUUCCGGCUCCUACCGGAGGCCGCCGUGGGGAAUUUUGGACCAUGGGGGCCGGCCUUGUCCCAGCCUACCGCGUGGGUUGAGGAGGGCUUCCGGUUUUUAAAGCCUUUUGUUGGGAAAGAAAAGCAGCAGGUUAAUACCCCGCUGUUCUGACGGUACCCAAAGAAUAAGCACCGGCUAACUUCGUG
Molecule: ribosomal RNA, 491 nt
Filed under: uncultured bacterium
Lineage: Bacteria
Description: partial 16S ribosomal RNA
Rfam family: Bacterial small subunit ribosomal RNA
Source: RNAcentral